Molecule: long non-coding RNA, 1380 nt
Filed under: Bos indicus x Bos taurus (hybrid cattle)
Lineage: Eukaryota; Metazoa; Chordata; Mammalia; Artiodactyla; Bovidae
Description: lncRNA (ENSBIXG00000013808.1)
Source: RNAcentral
CUGCUGUCAGCCCGUUUUCUACCUAGAAAGCCCCCAAUCCGAAGAUUCCCCAAGUCGGUGGAGUUCCCUCACGCUCAAGCGUCCCCGAAUGUCUCUCCCCUAAACCACUGGACCCCACGGAGCCUGCCUGGCCAGAGGUCUCCGAGCCUCGCCGAGCGCCCGGGUCCUGAAGUUCCCGGGAACCGAGUCGUGCCCUGCCGCUCGGAGCCCCUCAACCCCACUGCGCCGUCUUGCUCCCCAACACACCCGCGGUGGAAGAGCCUUCCCGCCCCCGGGCGACAAGCUCAGAGCACCCACCUGGCGCCACAGAAGCGUCCGGGACGUGCAGCCGGGCGGUGCGGGCUCGGCGCGCGCUGUGGAGAGGCGGACGGGAGCAGCCCGGUCCACACCUCGUGCGGGAUCCGGGACCCGUACCUUCCCCGACGCCGGCCUCCAGCCCGCGGCGCCGCAGUCGCCGCCGCCGCCGCCGCCGAGAAGUUAAAUGGGGCUGGGACGGGGGCCGCCCCGCCUCUACCGCCCCCUCCGGGCGUGCGGAGCGCGGCGCUGGCCCCGGCCCAGAAGCGGAGGGCGCGCGCCGCCACCUGCACCGCCCGGCAAGUGCACGGCGCGCCCGGGCGCCCGCCCGCCCUCGUGUCGACCCCGCGCCCUCCGCCCGUGCCGGGGACGCCGCGGGCUCCAAGGGAGCGUGUGAGAGGCGGGAGCCGGGCGGCUCGGAGCGCGCGGGGCUGCGGUGACGGCGAGACUCCGCUGGAACGCUCCUCCGCCCGCUUCCUGGAAGCCACUCCUCGCCCUGGGCCGGCCGCCAGGCGUGGUGCCAAGAGCCGGGACUGCCGACGCCGCCACCGCCGCCGCCGGCAGGCGCGCAGGGAAAGGCGGCCGCUGAGCUGCGAGCCAGCCGGGACGCCCCGCCUCAGCCGGAGCCGGGAGCGGGGAUGCCAUCGCCACCCCCCACCCCCAACCUCCCCGAGCCUCCGCCCGCCCCGCCCGGGCCCGGGCGCCGACUCUGCUAAGUCAGGCCCAGCGGCCACACGGAGGUUUGCCCGGAACCGCUGGCUCGUGCCUGCGAGCCUCCGGCGCUCCCGGCCAGGCAUGACCAAAGUCAGAGACCAGUGGCCCCUCCCGGCCUGCCCGCCUUCACCUCCAGCGGCGCCCAGAGCGCACUCUGGGCCUGGGCCAGUGGACUCCGGUGAGCUUGCUCCUCACUCGGACCCUUGGCUACCAGGGACCACCAGCGACCUGGUGCCUCUUGCUAUGAGCCGAGCUUGGGUAACAGAGCUGCGUAGCUGCCCAAACCCUGGGGUACCCAGGUCUGAGAUUUGGGGUGGCGGUGUCAGGGACCUGGAGUGGGGUGAAUUUCCUCUUGGAGGUGGUGAGAAGUAG